RNAcentral lists this ribosomal RNA (497 nucleotides) under uncultured bacterium. RNAcentral describes it as "partial 16S ribosomal RNA". It matches the Rfam family "Bacterial small subunit ribosomal RNA", at positions 28 to 507 of the family's 1533-position model. The record is from RNAcentral.
GAUGAACGCUGGCGGCGUGCCUAAUACAUGCAAGUCGAGCGAACGGACGAGAAGCUUGCUUCUCUGAUGUUAGCGGCGGACGGGUGAGUAACACGUGGAUAACCUACCUAUAAGACUGGGAUAACUUCGGGAAACCGGUGCUAAUACCGGAUAAUAUUUUGAACCGCAUGGUUCAAAAGUGAAAGACGGUCUUGCUGUCACUUAUAGAUGGAUCCGCUCUGCAUUAGCUAGUUGGUAAGGUAACGGCUUACCAAGGCAACGAUGCAUAGCCGACCUGAGAGGGUGAUCGGCCACACUGGAACUGAGCCACGGUCCAGACUCCUACGGGAGGCAGCAGUAGGGAAGCUUCCGCGAUGGGCGAAAGCCUGACGGAGCAACGCCGCGUGAGUGAUGAAGGUCUUCGGAUCGUAAAACCCUGUUAUUAGGGAAGAACAUAUGUGUAAGUAACUGUGCACAUCUUGACGGUACCUAAUCAGAAAGCCACGGCUAACUACGUG